GUGCCAGCCGCCGCGGUAAUACCGGCAGCCCGAGUGAUGGCCGAUCUUAUUGGGCCUAAAGCGUCCGUAGCUGGCUGCGCAAGUCCGUCGGGAAAUCCACGCGCUCAACGCGUGGGCGUCCAGCGGAAACUGUCUGGCUUGGGGCCGGAGGACUCGAGGGGUACGUUCGGGGUAGGAGUGAAAUCCCAUAAUCCCGCACGGACCACCGAUGGCGAAAGCACUUCGAGAAAACGGAUCCGACAGUGAGGGACGAAAGCCAGGGUCUCCAACCGGAUUAGAUACCCCUGUAGCC
Molecule: ribosomal RNA, 292 nt
Filed under: uncultured bacterium
Lineage: Bacteria
Description: partial 16S ribosomal RNA
Rfam family: Archaeal small subunit ribosomal RNA
Source: RNAcentral